UGUGGGAGCGGGCUUGCCCGCGAAGGCGGUCUGUCAGUUACAUGGAUGCUGGCUGACACACCGCUUUCGCGGGCAAGCCCGCUCCCACA
Molecule: non-coding RNA, 89 nt
Filed under: Pseudomonas tolaasii NCPPB 2192
Lineage: Bacteria; Pseudomonadati; Pseudomonadota; Gammaproteobacteria; Pseudomonadales; Pseudomonadaceae
Source: RNAcentral